Molecule: unclassified non-coding RNA, 1153 nt
Filed under: Hevea brasiliensis (rubber tree)
Lineage: Eukaryota; Viridiplantae; Streptophyta; Magnoliopsida; Malpighiales; Euphorbiaceae
Source: RNAcentral
AAAAGUGCCCAUCAAGCUCAAGUCACAAAUAACACAUCAGAAGUUCAGUACAUAAAAGGCUCAUUAUCUGAGAAUCCACAAUAGUCAAGUUGCAAUUCUAAUUUCAGAUCCUUAAUUCACAUUAAGACAACAACAAAAGACCACUUCUCCUAUGAAAUAUAAGAAUAAAAGUACAGCUGAAAACUGCAAGCUGAAGCCCUUUGACACUUUUAACAAAUUCCACAAAUGAAUGAAAGGCCUAUGUGCCAGACCAAAAACCCUGACCCUUGGCAGUAAUGAAAAUACACCUUAAAAUUCCAGGCGGACAGAACAACUAAAAAGCUAGAGAAACCAAGAGAAGAAAAGGGAAAAAAAAUAUAUCCUUAUACCCACCACAUUAACCAAAUUUGAAGCCACCUGGGGGAGCAUUCGGCUGGUUAGUUCCAAAAGCAAAGCCUUGCUGAUUUCCAUCUCCACCAUCUUGAACAUUCUGUUCCUCUUCUUCCUCAGCCCAGUAUCUUUCCAAAAUCUUAACAGCCUUCUCGUAAAUUUCAUUGUUGUCAUGGGUCUGCAGAUUCUCAAUUUUAUCCAAUCCAUCACAUUCAUCUAUCAUUUGUGCAUACAAAUUAACUCCGCCAUUCUUUCCCAUUUCCUUGUCAGCCUCACCCACCUUCAAAAUGUUUUCCAGCCCCUCAAGGCAAACUGUCACAAUCCUGGGGUCUGGACAUAUUAGAAGGUCACAGAGAGGUUUGAUGCAACCUUGGCUCACUAGAAAUCUGCAACAAAAUUAGUGUGGCUAUGUAAGAUUUUUGUCUGCAUGCAUUAAAUCCUGCAAUAUAAGGUUGACACACUGAAUUGAAAUGCAACUUAUUGAGAAUAGAUCCAAAGAACUUAUGGCUAAAUGAGAUAAACAACUUCACAAUUGAUUUAUAAUUAGUUACUUUCAUAGCAACACAAUGUAUCAUUUUCAAAUAGUCAACCACAUGAUUUAAUUACCAAAUGUGUUUUCCUAUGCAUUACAAUCAGGUGGUAUGAAAUCCAAAUGGAUAGAUAUUGGGGAAGGAUGCAAGAGGGAGCACAGAAACAUUAUGGACCAGAAAAAUCAAACAAAAAGGAAGUGGAAAAACUGUACUGAAUCUGUUCAUGAGAUCCUCCUGAGGUCGCAUUUGAGAUA